This 85-nucleotide transfer RNA is filed under the name Subsaximicrobium wynnwilliamsii. RNAcentral's name for it is "tRNA-Leu". It matches the Rfam family "tRNA". From Rfam's summary of the family: Transfer RNA (tRNA) molecules are approximately 80 nucleotides in length. Their secondary structure includes four short double-helical elements and three loops (D, anti-codon, and T loops). Lineage: Bacteria; Pseudomonadati; Bacteroidota; Flavobacteriia; Flavobacteriales; Flavobacteriaceae. The record is from RNAcentral.
GCGGGCGUGGUGGAAUUGGUAGACACGCGAGACUUAGGAUCUAGUGCCGCAAGGUGUGGAGGUUCGAGUCCUCUCGCCCGCACAA